UUGACAUGUAAAUGAGAAUCGAUAUGAUUAUCACAACCGGUCGCGAGACUGGCCGAUACCUGAAAGACCUUGGUUCGGACUUUCAGAUUAUCUCCUCAUCAGGCUAAUCACGGUUUUUGACCCGGCUCUUUGCCGGGUCUUUUUUUG
Molecule: non-coding RNA, 147 nt
Organism: Pseudomonas caspiana
Lineage: Bacteria; Pseudomonadati; Pseudomonadota; Gammaproteobacteria; Pseudomonadales; Pseudomonadaceae
Source: Rfam